UACGAACGCUGGCGGCGUGCUUAACACAUGCAAGUCGAACGGAAAGGCCCUGCUUGCAGGGUACUCGAGUGGCGAACGGGUGAGUAACACGUGGGUGAUCUGCCCUGCACUUCGGGAUAAGCCUGGGAAACUGGGUCUAAUACCGGAUAGGAGCCAUUUUUAGUGUGAUGGUUGGAAAGUUUUUUCGGUGUAGGAUGAGCUCGCGGCCUAUCAGCUUGUUGGUGGGGUAAUGGCCUACCAAGGCGGCGACGGGUAGCCGGCCUGAGAGGGUGGACGGCCACAUUGGGACUGAGAUACGGCCCAGACUCCGACGGGAGGCAGCAGUGGGGAAUAUUGCACAAUGGGCGCAAGCCUGAUGCAGCGACGCCGCGUGGGGGAUGACGGCCUUCGGGUUGUAAACUCCUUUCGCUAGGGACGAAGCUGUUUGUGACGGUACCGAGAUAAGAAGCACCGGCUAACUACGU
RNAcentral lists this ribosomal RNA (464 nucleotides) under uncultured bacterium. RNAcentral's name for it is "partial 16S ribosomal RNA". It matches the Rfam family "Bacterial small subunit ribosomal RNA", at positions 29 to 506 of the family's 1533-position model. The record is from RNAcentral.